Long non-coding RNA from Hemicordylus capensis (graceful crag lizard), 354 nucleotides. RefSeq lists it as uncharacterized. The record is from RefSeq and is a predicted model, not a curated record. The transcript has 3 exons. Lineage: Eukaryota; Metazoa; Chordata; Lepidosauria; Squamata; Cordylidae.
CAGAAUUCAGAACUGCUAAGACACAUCACGGCCUGGAGGAAGGCUUGACUACUUGCUACAGGCCCAUACUUCUGAGCCCUGGAGAGAAUUGGCUUCCCUCGUUUCCCCCAAAUCACAUCUCUGGCAACUACGCUAACCACCAUGAGGAUAUUUUGCCUUCUCUUUGCUGGUCUUUUCUUGGUCUUCCUACCUAGUCCAGGCAAAGGAGAUUUUAUCACACUAGGCUGCUUAUUCCGAGGUGGUUCCUGUGAAUCUGAUGCCUGCAAGGAAGCUGAAUUACAGAUUGGGACCUGCGCCAAGACCAAAAAGCUAUGCUGUAAGAAACCGAAAUAAAAGGCUGUUCUGAACCCCGGA